GAUGAACGCUGGCGGCGUGCCUAAUACAUGCAAGUCGAGCGAACAGACGAGGAGCUUGCUCCUCUGACGUUAGCGGCGGACGGGUGAGUAACACGUGGAUAACCUACCUAUAAGACUGGGAUAACUUCGGGAAACCGGAGCUAAUACAGGAUAAUAUAUUGAACCGCAUGGUUCAAUAGUGAAAGACGGUUUUGCUGUCACUUAUAGAUGGAUCCGCGCCGCAUUAGCUAGUUGGUAAGGUAACGGCUUACCAAGGCGACGAUGCGUAGCCGACCUGAGAGGGUGAUCGGCCACACUGGAACUGAGACACGGUCCAGACUCCUACGGGAGGCAGCAGUAGGGAAUCUUCCGCAAUGGGCGAAAGCCUGACGGAGCAACGCCGCGUGAGUGAUGAAGGUCUUCGGAUCGUAAAACUCUGUUAGUAGGGAAGAACAAAUGUGUAAGUAACUAUUCACGUCUUGACGGUACCUAAUCAGAAAGCCACGGCUAACUACGUG
This 497-nucleotide ribosomal RNA is filed under the name uncultured bacterium. RNAcentral's name for it is "partial 16S ribosomal RNA". It matches the Rfam family "Bacterial small subunit ribosomal RNA", at positions 28 to 507 of the family's 1533-position model. The record is from RNAcentral.